CUUGAAUGACUAGAUAGGACAUUUUUUAAUUUAAUCACAUUUUUGUGUUUAAUGUUUAAUUUAAAGUGAGAUCAGAUCCCAAUUCCUGCUAAGAGGAAAUCCUGUCCUCCUAUUUAGAAUAUUCCAAGAGAAUAAGGUGAAUCAAAUUACAACUGCAAAUCAGGUAUGGUAGCACAUGCCUAUAAUCCCAGCACCCAGGAGGCUGAGGCAGAAAGAUCGCUGUGAGUUUGAGACCAGCCUAGGCUACAUAGUGAGUUCAAGGCCAGCCCGAACUACACUGCCAGACCCUGUCUGAAAAAAAGAAAAAAAAAUUAGAACUGUAGCAAAGCCCAGCACCCCCUCCAGUGCAGAUCAGAUUGAUUUAGCAUCCCAUUCCUGACAAAAGAAGGGGCAUACCUUAUUCUAAAGGGAACUAUUACUUGUUUUUAUACCUAUUGUCCUUUUAUAGAAAAUUACCCAGUAAAAAAACUAUAGGACAUGCAAAGGAGCAGAAAACGUUGAUCCAGAGACAAAAGUCAGUAGAGGCAAACUCAGAUUAAUAGAUGUUUGAAUUGUUUGAAUUAUUGAGGGUUGACAAUAAUGAUAAAAAUGCUGAAAGAGCUAGGAAAAAAAGGUGGGGAGAAGGAGACAUGUAUGAAGAGAUAUAAGAUUUUAGCAGAGACCUGGAAACAGAAAAAUACAAACAAUUCUAGAAUAUGACCUAAGAUAACACAUAAAGGAAUAGAUGAAUAAACUUGAAGACAGAGCAGUUGAAAGUAUACAAAGUUAAAGAAAAGGAUUGACAAUAGAAUAUCAAAAUUAAUAAAAAUCAGAUUUGAAGGCAAAAUCAGUUAGUCUGCCAUCCCUGUAAUUGAGCUACGGAAGCAGAUUUAGAGAAUGGUAGAGAAGAAAUGUUCAGACACUUUGACCAUGGAUUCCUUUGAAAUUUAUGGAAAUCAGCACAGAGAAAAACCCAAACAGUUCUCUUAAAUAAUUAAAAUUGAUAAACACUUAGAAAAGACUGAUACUGUUAUACCAGGCUAAAUGUAUCUUCCCCCCAAAUUUAUAUUCACCUGGAACUACAGUGUCACCUAUUUGGGAAUUGGGUUUUUGGUGAAAUUAGUAACUUCAUACUACAUUAAGGUUGGCCUUAAAUCAAAUGACCGAUGUCCUUAUAAGAAGGCCAUGGAGAAAUGUGGGCAUAUAGAAAAGGCCAUGUGAAAAUGGAGGCAGAGAUUAGAGUGAUGCAGCUACAAACUAAAGGUGCCCACAGGAGAAGCUAAGAAAAGGCAAAGGAUCCUUUCCUGGAAUCUUUAGAGGGAACCUUGAUUUCGGACCUCUAACCUCUAGAUCUGUGGAAGAGUAAUUUGUGUGUGUACAUGUGUGGUACUAGGUAUUGAACGGAGGGUCUGUGCACUGAUCUACAUCCCUGGCCCUAUUUUAAUUUUUGAGACAGAAUCUUGCUAAAUUUCCCAGCCUGGGUUCAAACUUACGAUAUUCCUGCCUCAUCCUCCGCAAGUCCUGGGAUUACAGGUAUGCACCACCACACCCUGGACAAAUUUGUUUUAGGCCACCUGGUUCAUGAUUAUUUGUCAUGGCAGUUUAGGAAAUUAUUCAAGUUAAAAAGAUCAUAACCAUUCUUGCUUCUGUGUGGUGUGGGGAGAAGCUGGUCAUCCAUAUCCUAUAGUGCUGCUACCUCACCCCUACCCUGUAGGGUCUGCAUCCAUAGGACCCUCAUUCUCCACUCCUUGGGGUACCACCCAGGAAGGUUACCUACCCUCUCCUUCAGGAGGGCUCCCUCCCACCCCCAUGAGCAGGAAUUUAGCAUUUUCCCUCCUUUCAGGGUUCAAAGGCAUGAAGGGCUCCCCUGUCACUUUAGGGGUGGAAGCACUAUAUUCAUCAUGCUAUCCUUAUCUGGACUAAGAACAGCCAAUUUGUUAUUAGAGAUAGCAGUGGGGCACAGGCCCUUCUCUAGUGUCCUGACCUAACAGCUUUUCCUGGCACUACCACACCACAGACAGUGCCUGUAGGGCUGACACCUGUGCUCUUUCUACCUGCUUGUUGUUCAUCUUGUCCCCGUCUCUGGCAAUCCAUUCCCUGAAUUCCCCAUUUCUAGAACUUUUCACCCAUCCUUUCCCUGAUCUUUUUCCAUUUCUUGACUGCAGCCAUGGAGUUACCAAAGGGACACUAGCAACAGCUGCUUCAAGAACUGAAGGAAGUACAGGAGGAAGAGUGGGAGCAGGAGCUGCAGGAGGGUGGAGGUGGCUACUUUAAACCAGUUUGAAUACCAAGGCAGAAUUAGAAGGGAGGUUGAAAAGGUAUAUGAGCAUUGUGAUGUCAAUGAAUGACAUUCUCAAUGUGUAUGUAUGCAAACCUCUCCUCCCUCUGGUGUGAGAAAAUCUACCUGGACCUCCUUUACUCGUGUCCUCACAGAAACUGCCCAAGCCCAGAAGUGUUACUGGGACAUGAUUUAGCUUUUUCAGUCAAGAACAUCUCAGAAAUCCCUGGCAGGUCAUCAAACCCCAGACAUGGAGACUUAGCUUUUCAUGACAUCUUGGUUGCAAUUUGGUCAACAAAAGGAGUACCAAGAUCGGUUCCAGUGCUAGUAUCUGUUCAACCUCAUUUUCUGUGUUGUGACCUUAUCUGCUACAUCUUUGAGGUAAUCCACGCUUCUAACGAACUUUUGAAUUCAAAUAUCUUCCCCCAAGAUGGCUCUUGACAACAUGGGUGUCAAAUGUUACUACCUCUAACGACAAACUGGCCUUGACUGACUGGCUGUUCUUUUGUCCAGAUGAGGAUAGCUUGAUGAAUGGAGGCAGCUGUCCUGGUCAUCCAUCACUCCUUGAAGUCUCCAGCCAUCAUUGCCACACUCCUUCACUUAAUGCACCACAUUAUUCCCUGUCCUGGUUAUGUCUAUGGGAACUUUUUAUAGUCCAUUUCUGUGGAGAGGUGCUGCCCCAGGAGUUCACUGAGGAAUCCCUGGAAAAGUCCAAAGGGAAACCUAUCUGCCUAAUAUUUUGGAUCCUGUGCCAGGUGCAGGAAAAGAGCAGCAUCUCUGUUUUUAGACUUCUCUAAGGUGUGUCAGAAGCAGUCCCAAAUUGGCUACCACCUGCUCUACUAUCUGAAGACCAGCAAAGCUGCAUCAGGGAAGAUGAACCUGGCCUAAGCUACCCAGCAAGGUGAUCUGUACACCUGCCUAAUGAUGGACAUGAAGGCCUGCGUGGAGGACAUGUGACUGCUGUGCCACCUUAUGACCUCCAUCUACGAGUUUUCAGAUGACACUUUGAGGAGUAGGAAGCUCUUGAACAUGAUUGUGACUAUUGACUCAGCACGACUUCAGGAGCUGGUCUGCUAUAUGAUGAUGGAGACCUAGUCAUGUUUUGAAAUGACUCAGACUUCAGCAUACUCAUCUAGAACCUGGAAUGGGAAAUCUUUGAGCAGUCUUGUGUCUGGCAGCUUUUCCUAGCCCACAACAUCUACCUGGAGACCAUAAUCAACAUUCCGUAGCAUGUCAAAUACCAGGAACACCCAGAGGCCUUAUCCUUCCUGCUGCUUCAGAAGCCCAGUGAGGAAAUAGUAAAGAUGAUGCUGAACCAGCCCUGCCAUUCUUAGGGCCAAUUCACCACCAUCAGCCUGUUGCACUGGCACAUAAAGCAUGAUAAGCUGCCAGGGGAGCACAUCAAGUUCCUGCUGAUCAAAAAACAGCCUCCCUCACAGGCAAAGCCUGAGGAGCUCCAGCAACAGGUUGGCCCAGCUGACCCUGGAGCAGAUCCUGGAGCACCUGGACAACCUGCAGCUCAAUCUGGCCAACACCAAGCAGAACUUUGUUAGCGAGAAUUAAUACUUUACUGUAGAAUGCACGGGAAAGCUGUGAGAAAGACCACAAGGUGAACUUCAGUAUCCUCUUCUCCCUGGGGAAGGACUAGGAGGACUCUUCCACUAAGCCACACAAGAGCUAGUGAAAGGCAGAUCUGUUCAGCUCUCCAAGUUGGAAGAAUGCCAGUUAGCCUCCCAAGGCUGAGGAGGAUAGGCUCCUGCAGUGCUUAGGAGAAAGAAGACACAAAACCCAAACCCAACAAGCAGAAAUGAAAAGGGCUCUCUGCAGUGGAUUCUGACAAUGACUGAGGCCCUGUGUUCCCAUGCCACUCCAGUUGGACUGCCCUCUUUCCUGGUGAAUCAUAAGGUAAUAGGGGCUUGGAAGAUAUAGGGGACACACCCUCUCCCUCCUGAAGUUUGCCUGGUGGGAAAGAUAAGCUGUUUCCUGUGGUCCACCGUGAGAAACUGUCAUGCAACUCCUCCCUUACCACCUCUUCUGCUCCCACCCCCACUGCUGCUCCCACUUGGGUUCUCAUGGCAGCCAGAGGCUGUAAAAAACAGACUGUGGUUUAGUAUUAUCCUCCCAGUCUCCCAAAGAACUAUUUCAGUAGAGAAGGAAGAUGACAAAAGGGCCUCUGGGCAGAGAAGCUAGGAUGAGAGUAGAUACUUAGUGUGUGGGUAUCUCUUCCUGCUUCCUCCACUCUCUUGAUUUCUUCUAAACAGACAUCUGGUAAUCAGUGUGCCUAAAACAGUGUGGUGAAUUGGAUUUCUGACUUGUGGUCAUUGUCCAUUCUGGGCAGUGCUACAACCUUCAGAAAUAAUCCUGAAAGGCCCCAGCCUGAAGUGCUCUGCCCAGGAAGAUUGGGUUGGCCUGAGGUUGGCACCUCACACUGGGCCAGAGCCCAGGGGAGUCCCAGAGGCAAACUGCUCAUAGCUGUAAAAUGUUUCCAUUUCCUUGGUUCUGUAUUUUGCUUUUAUGUUUCCUCCUCCUCCUCCUCCCCCCUCCUCCCCCCUUCUCCCUCCUCCUCCCUCCUCCUCCCUCCUCCUCCCCCCUCCUCCCCC
This is a long non-coding RNA of Heterocephalus glaber (naked mole-rat), 4857 nucleotides long. Lineage: Eukaryota; Metazoa; Chordata; Mammalia; Rodentia; Bathyergidae. The record is from Ensembl.